Molecule: ribosomal RNA, 636 nt
Filed under: uncultured bacterium
Lineage: Bacteria
Description: partial 16S ribosomal RNA
Rfam family: Bacterial small subunit ribosomal RNA (bases 1-539)
Source: RNAcentral
CCUACGGGAGGCAGCAGUAAGGAAUAUUGGACAAUGCUCGCAAGAGUGAUCCAGCCAUGCCGCGUGCAGGAAGAAUGCCCUAUGGGUAGUAAACUGCUUUUGAACUAGAGAAAACCCCAGUACGUGUACUGGGCUGAUAGUAUAGUUAGAAUAAGCAUCGGCUAACUUCGUGCCAGCAGCCGCGGUAAGACGAAGGAUGCAAGCGUUAUCCGGAUUCAUUGGGUUUAAAGGGAGCGUAGGUGGACUGAUAAGUCAGUGGUGAAAUCUCCGAGCUUAACUCGGAAAUUGCCAUUGAUACUGUUGGUCUUGAGUACAGUUGCUGUGGGCGGAAUAUGACAUGUAGUGGUGAAAUACAUAGAGAUGUCAUAGAACACCGAUUGCGAAGGCAGCUCACAAAGCUGUAACUGACACUGAGGCUCGAAAGUGCGGGGAUCAAACAGGAUUAGAUACCCUGGUAGUCCGCACCGUAAACGAUGAUUACUCNCUACGUAGGGCGACCGUUACGUGGUGUUAGACGAAGACGAAGUAAGUAAGUUACCGACCGUCGGGGGUUACGGGUUCCGGGCCGGACGGUUAGGACGUACGAAGUUAGAGUUAGACGGCGNGAGAGCGACGGACGACGACGAGGGAGGUAGG